This 335-nucleotide unclassified non-coding RNA is filed under the name soil metagenome. RNAcentral's name for it is "partial contains 5.8S ribosomal RNA, internal transcribed spacer 2, and large subunit ribosomal RNA". The stretch from base 1 to 120 matches the Rfam family "5.8S ribosomal RNA", at positions 35 to 154 of the family's 154-position model. The record is from RNAcentral.
GAUGAAGAACGCAGCGAAAUGCGAUACGUAGUGUGAAUUGCAGAAUUCAGUGAAUCAUCGAAUCUUUGAACGCACAUUGCGCCCUAUGGUAUUCCGUAGGGCAUGCCUGUUCGAGCGUCAUUCAAACCUUCAAGCUCUGCUUGGUGUUGGGCGUCUGUCCUGCCUCACGGCGCGGACUCGCCUCAAAUCUAUUGGCGGCCGGCACGUUGGCUUCGAGCGCAGCAGAAACGCGAACUCGAGACCGGCGGAUCGGCUCCCAGAAGCUACCCCCAUGAAUUUGACCUCGGAUCAGGUAGGGAUACCCGCUGAACUUAAGCAUAUCAAUAAGCGGAGGA